AGAGUUUGAUCCUGGCUCAGAUUGAACUUUGGCGGCAGGCCUAACACAUGCAAGUCGAACGGUAACAGGAAGAAGCUUGCUUCUUUGCUGACGAGUGGCGGACGGGUGAGUAAUGUCUGGGAAACUGCCUGAUGGAGGGGGAUAACUACUGGAAACGGUAGCUAAUACCGCAUAACGUCGCAAGACCAAAGAGGGGGACCUUCGGGCCUCUUGCCAUCGGAUGUGCCCAGAUGGGAUUAGCUAGUAGGUGGGGUAACGGCUCACCUAGGCGACGAUCCCUAGCUGGUCUGAGAGGAUGACCAGCCACACUGGAACUGAGACACGGUCCAGACUCCUACGGGAGGCAGCAGUGGGGAAUAUUGCACAAUGGGCGCAAGCCUGAUGCAGCCAUGCCGCGUGUAUGAAGAAGGCCUUCGGGUUGUAAAGUACUUUCAGCGGGGAGGAAGGGAGUAAAGUUAAUACCUUUGCUCAUUGACGUUACCCGCAGAAGAAGCACCGGCUAACUCCGUGCCAGCAGCCGCGGUAAUACGGAGGGUGCAAGCGUUAAUCGGAAUUACUGGGCGUAAAGCGCACGCAGGCGGUUUGUUAAGUCAGAUGUUGAAAUCCCCGGGCUCAACCCUGGGAACUGCUUCUGAUACUGGCAAGCUUGAGUCUCGUAGAGGGGGGUAGAAUUCCAGGUGUAGCGGUGAAAUGCGUAGAGAUCUGGAGGAAUACCGGUGGCGAAGGCGGCCCCCUGGACGAAGACUGACGCUCAGGUGCGAAAGCGUGGGGAGCAAACAGGAUUAGAUACCUUGGUAGUCCACGCCGUAAACGAUGUCGACUUGGAGGUUGUGCCCUUGAGGCGUGGCUUCCGGAGCUAACGCGUUAAGUCGACCGCCUGGGGAGUACGGCCGCAAGGUUAAAACUCAAAUGAAUUGACGGGGGCCCGCACAAGCGGUGGAGCAUGUGGUUUAAUUCGAUGCAACGCGAAGAACCUUACCUGGUCUUGACAUCCACGGAAGUUUUCAGAGAUGAGAAUGUGCCUUCGGGAACCGUGAGACAGGUGCUGCAUGGCUGUCGUUAGCUCGUGUUGUGAAAUGUUGGGUUAAGUCCCGCAACGAGCGCAACCCUUAUCCUUUGUUGCCAGCGGUCCGGCCGGGAACUCAAAGGAGACUGCCAGUGAUAAACUGGAGGAAGGUGGGGAUGACGUCAAGUCAUCAUGGCCCUUACGACCAGGGCUACACACGUGCUACAAUGGCGCAUACAAAGAGAAGCGACCUCGCGAGAGCAAGCGGACCUCAUAAAGUGCGUCGUAGUCCGGAUUGGAGUCUGCAACUCGACUCCAUGAAGUCGGAAUCGCUAGUAAUCGUGGAUCAGAAUGCCACGGUGAAUACGUUCCCGGGCCUUGCACACACCGCCCGUCA
This 1403-nucleotide ribosomal RNA is filed under the name uncultured bacterium. RNAcentral's name for it is "bacterial SSU rRNA". It matches the Rfam family "Bacterial small subunit ribosomal RNA". The record is from RNAcentral.